This 253-nucleotide ribosomal RNA is filed under the name uncultured bacterium. Its description in RNAcentral is "partial 16S ribosomal RNA". It matches the Rfam family "Bacterial small subunit ribosomal RNA", at positions 524 to 776 of the family's 1533-position model. The record is from RNAcentral.
UACAGGGGGGGCAAGCGUUGUUCGGAAUUACUGGGCGUAAAGGGCUCGUAGGCGGCCAACUAAGUCGGACGUGAAAUCCCUCAGCUUAACUGGGGAACUGCGUCCGAUACUGGAUGGCUUGGAUUUGGGAGAGGGAUGCGGAAUUCCAGGUGUAGCGGUGAAAUGCGUAGAUAUCUGGAGGAACACCGGUGGCGAAGGCGGGUCUCUGGGCCGAUACUGACGCUGAGGAGCGAAAGCGUGGGGAGCGAACAGG